UAAGGCCGCGGACGUUCUGAUUCUGCCCUUUGCACUUUGGACUUUGACACGAGCGGACCUCACCUGUGAACCCUCCUGUGAACCCAAACCUGUGAAGGAAACUCUGAGACUUUUGCACUGCUUGAGUCUUUUUGUUGGAAACAACACUUGUCUUACAGAACUCCACGAGAUCCGGACUACGAGAGACCGAGAGCCGAGGACGAGCCCCUGCUGAAGCGACCGGGCUGUGAUUUGGACCAUAAGUGACUGACUUCCUCCCGAGAAGCCUGAGAAUGGAGGACCACCUGUGCACGGGGCGACGCCAGAGCUGUUGGCGACUUCGUUGGAGCUGCGCCGCCACCCCCCCCUCCCAGCCCCCCGGCGGCAGCCAUCGGCAUCGACUACGGAGCUGGUGGCGACUACGAUGGAGCUCCUGGCCUCCCUACGGCCAUCAGGUUAGUGCAGGAAAUUAACGCUGAACAAGAUGAGUUUAACCAUGUGCAGGUGGAUUUGUUGCUCUUGGCCCGUUUCCCAGCAGAUGAGCUCCGGCUCCAACCCGUACGAGCCCGACACCGCCGACGCGCCCGACACCGCCGACGCGCCCGACGCGCCCGCAGGUAAGUUAUCAGGUUAGUGAUACACUUGUCCCUUUAAACUUACACUACACUGUUUAAAGGACUGUUAUUGGUUUGUAUGUACACUUUAUUGUAUAUUCUACUGUAAAUGUAAUAUGUUACAAUUCUUGCACUUUGUUGAUUGUUGAUUGUUUAAUGUUAUUCUCUAAUGUUGCACCACCCGCCAUGACACAUUCCUUGUAUGUGAAAAUAUAGUUUACAAUAGACACACACAUAAUAUAUACAAUAAAAUUAAAAACCAGCUGUGGAACGUCCUGAAGCAGCUCCGGCCCGUCCCCCAGAAACCAGAAGAGUCCACCAGGAGCAGCAGGAAGAGGAGGAGCCCGACUGCCCGGCAGGACGGAUAAAGUGUAACCAGCCUUCCCUCG
Long non-coding RNA from Pseudoliparis swirei, 982 nucleotides. RefSeq lists it as uncharacterized. Lineage: Eukaryota; Metazoa; Chordata; Actinopteri; Perciformes; Liparidae. The transcript is spliced from 4 exons. The record is from RefSeq and is a predicted model, not a curated record.